RNAcentral lists this ribosomal RNA (541 nucleotides) under uncultured bacterium. RNAcentral describes it as "bacterial SSU rRNA". It matches the Rfam family "Bacterial small subunit ribosomal RNA", at positions 347 to 916 of the family's 1533-position model. The record is from RNAcentral.
GGCAGCAGCUAGGAAUCUUGCGCAAUGGGCGAAAGCCUGACGCAGCGACGCCGCGUGCGGGAUGAAGGCCGAGAGGUUGUAAACCGCUAAAAUUCAACAUAUGUUGGGACAUAAGUGCCGGCUAACUCCGUGCCAGCAGCAGCGGUAAGACGGAGGGCACAAGCAUUACCCGGAAUUACUGGGCGUACAGGGCCCGUAGGCGGUUUGUUAAGUUUUCGGUCAAAGCCUCUCGCUUAACGAGAGAAAGGCCGGGAAUACUGGCAGACUAGAGUGAAUUCGGAGCUACUGGAACUUGCUAUGUAGGGGUGAAAUCCAUGGAUAUGGCAAGGAACACCAAGGGCGAAGGCGGGUAGCCAGAAUUAUACUGACGCUAAAGGACUAAAGCUAGGGUAGCAAACCGGAUUAGAGACCCGGGUAGUCCUAGCCCUAAACGAUGCUCGCUAGUUGGUUUCGAUAUUUUGUUGGGACUGACGUAGCUAACGCGUUAAGCGAGCCGCCUGGGGAGUAUGAUCGCAAGAUUGAAACUCAAAUGAAUUGACGG